UCCUCGUGGGUGGGCGACUGGCCCCUAGAUGNAAUGACCGUGUCGGCACGUGAGCGGUGAUGGAUUCGCAUGCCACGGCGGGCUCCCUGCCACUGUGCAGCCAACCGCNGUCGUUGCAGCCCCUUCACUCGUGCUCCAGCCACUCGGAGCCUCCCGCGUUGCCUGUACAACAUACCCGGUUCUCGGGCACAUGANUUCGUCCAACAUGCUCGUCCGCUCCCCUCGCCUUUGUGCGGGCGCGGAGCGGCAAUGUCGGCGGUCCUCGUGCUCCCUCGGACGGACGAUGGCACGGCUUUGGCCCCUCGUCUCGUCCCGAUCGGCCCUCGGGGAUUCGCCAGCGCUCGCGGACACGGUAGACAAUGUUGGCUCGGGGCUUUCGUAGUCCCCGCACCACGAUCGG
RNAcentral lists this unclassified non-coding RNA (400 nucleotides) under Heliconia orthotricha. Its description in RNAcentral is "partial external transcribed spacer". Lineage: Eukaryota; Viridiplantae; Streptophyta; Magnoliopsida; Zingiberales; Heliconiaceae. The record is from RNAcentral.